CAGCGUGUCAUGGCUGUGUUUGCGUGUUGUGCUAGCCAUGCCCUUGUUGUUUGGCAUGGUUACUGCAGCUGGUGAACUGUGUUGGUAACAGUGCUAUCUAGCUGUAGCUGUUUUGUUAUUUCUGAAGUUGAAGAAAUUUUGUUGUUGUUAUGAUCUGGUGGAGGUAAUAGAACCUCUUCACCUAGUUCUGUUUCAAGUAUCUGCUAUCUUAGUCGUGUGGUGGUGAGAUGUUUUUCUUUUCUCCUGCAAAGUAAGUGUUAAGUGUUGAUGGAGUAGUAUAGCAGCCACAAGCAUUUGAUUGAUCAUUAUUUGUUUUGUGUAGUUGAUCAUGUCCUGAUGCAAUUUUAUUGUAUUUUGUUUGGAGUAGUGUUGUUUGCUUGAUUUAACAUGUUUAAAUAGCCAGCCAACGAGCUAGUUUUUUUGGAGUAGUUUCAUGGGUAGUAAAGAAGCAAGAAUCUGCUUUGUGACUAUUCUUUUAAUUACACGUUCUGGUUUAUGAAGGCUAUUGAGUUGCUAUGGUGUGCUUCAUUUGAGUAUAUUAAUCAUGCAAUUUUUGGUGUUAUGAGAGUUGUCCAUAUCUUCACCUAAUUAAUUAACUAAACUGAAAUAUUUACUAACAUGAUUGCUUCCUACAAAUUAUGUGUUGUUUUCCAUGAUCUCUAUAUGUAGUACUCUAGUGCUUCAUUUUUAAGUUUGAUGGGAUCCUGUGUUGUUUUCCAUGAUCUGGUGCUAUACUGGAAUAUCCUUUGUGACAUCAAUAUGUGUAUUGUGUAGUAUUUGCCAAUGCUGAAUUCACAUGGAUUUAUGGGCCUAUGUUGCUGUUUAUCUCGAAUGAUGAAUUUGUAGCUUGCUUGUGCUGCUGGUACCAUCCGUUCAUGUCAAAUAUACCAUGAUAUCAGCGUUUGCUUUGCUGACCAUGUUGUUGUUGAAGGAUAACGAGGAGGACUAAAGGACAACGGUAACCUUGUUCUUCGACUCCAUGUUGUGUUUAUGUAAAGUUUUUGGUUCCUCUAUAUAUCUUCAUGAUAACAGGAUUUCUAGCUUUAUUUGAAUUAUUGUGAUGAUGAUGAUGAUCUGGACAACCAUAGUAUCUUGUGUUACUGAGAAUUUGACAUGUGGUUAAUCCUGGAUAAUUUGAGGUCAGAUGGUCAUUCUCUCAAGAAGAAGAGUUUCCGGGAUAGCAAGUUGGCGUUGGCUAGAGCUCUGUGUUUGUGAUGUUUACCUUCUUGAUGUGUACAUAUGCACGAGUUUGUGCUUGCCCUGUCUGUAGAGCUUUGUUUUCUGUUGCUUGCUUUCUUUGUGUGCUCCUGUGCAUUACCAUUCAUUGGUGUUUGCUGCUCGGUGUUAUGGAAACUCUCGUUCAUUGUGUUUGAAUGUCCUAUCACAGGUUGUGCUGUAGGCAGUAGUCUAAAUUGAAGCAUACUGUUUGUGCUGGUUUUGAUGUACAAAGAAAAAACAAUUUCAUACCGAAAUUUUGAGCACUCACUGCUUAUUAAUUUUGAUCCAUUAGCUAGCUUAGUCGCUAGUUUUUAUUAUUGGUUGGGUAGUGAAUGAAGCAUACACGUGUGUUCAUUACCGGCUAUUAUUUGGAGUUACAAUUUUUAAGUGUCAGUGUUUGCUUUUUGUUGAGCUGACCAUGGUUUGUUCUUUUAUAAAUAUGUCAGUUUUUGGUUUACUGGGUCAUUAGUAAAUGAAUGAAUGAUGAGAACAAGUGUGUUUAGUAUCCAAUGGACACACUUGCACUCGUAACCAGCCAGCUUAUAAGAACAAUAUAUGCUCGUGUUGGGUGUUUAAAGAACUCUACUGUUUGGUUUGAUUUAAAUGGAUUUUAUUCAAGUUGCCCAAGUCGUUUUCUCACUUUGUUGUUAUCAAUCUGAUAAGAAGAGCUGGUGUUAUGAUUUAUUCAUUGCAUUGACAGUUACUAAUUUAGUGUCAUGUCUAGGACUUGUCGAGCAUGCUUCUUAUGUUCAAGUGUUUUUGCUUGCCAGGUGAAGAAUGCAUUAAUGCAGGGUACAGUUGUGUUUAUUAGCAGCAGUUAUUUUGGAGCCUUUUUUAAAUAUCAGUAUUUGCUUUGCUGACCAUGCAUUGUUCUUUUCUCUUUUUUUUGAGAAAAACCAUGCAUUGUUCUUGUUCAAGGAUAACGAGGAGGGCUAAACAAAACUCUCAUGGCCUUCGUCAAGCGACUCCAUGUGUUCUUUUAGGGAAGUUUCUGGUUCCUAAUUGUUGUGAUUUCUGUUUGAAGUAAAAGAUUUCAAAGAAAGAACACUUGCUUUCAUUGAUGAAUAGGGGGUAUUUAUACCCCAGGAACAGGUGCCAAUCAGAGGUGGUUUACAAGGUUCGCGCCCUCUCGGAGGGACGCGGCGUUUGGAUAAAAUAACUGUCUACUAAGCUAAUCUUACUAACUGCCUAAUUAGCUUAUGAUCUAAGCUAUAUUCUAUUCCUAACAAUUUCUUUGUACCGAUGCAUUCCCAUUGCUGGCCUGGAGUUUCAUGUUUUGCUUGUGUCUAAAUCAUGCAUUUGUAUGGCCCAGCAGUUGAUCAUCUCCUCAUGUUCUAUCUGUUUUUCAUUCUAUUCUGUCACAUCAAAUUAUUGGAAUGGGUGAUGUCAAAUCGUUGGUCCUACACCUGGGAUCAUUUGUGCUAUUUUUCUUUCUUUCACCUGGUAGUUUGGGACCUCUCUAACUAGCUAUAUACAGAGAUCAAACUAGCUAUCUGCUGCAUGUACCAAGUUAGUUGUUUACCUUUUACUCUUACUUUGACAUGCUCAAUUCUGAAUCCAUAUUAUUCAAGAAAAUUGGCCUGUCUUAUUUGCAUGUGAAGUUUUGUGACUGGGUACUACUUGCUGUGCAAUGUUAGUUUCCUUUGUUCAUUGAUUGAAUUGGUGGAGUAUUUCCAUUGUCUGUACUCUUCCUGGAUUGUGAAGUCUGAGCUUGUGGAUAUACCAUGUUGGGUGAGUGCUAACAUGAUAUAUGCCAACCUGAAUUCGUGGUUUAUAAAUUUCCAGGAAUGAAGGAAGUUCAUGACAAAAUUUCAAUCUUUUUUACUUCAAUAAAAAUCUGUUUGGUCAUGUCAUUAGCAUAUAUGAUAUCUGCGUGAUUGAUAGUUUUGAUAAUGACCAAAUUAUUAAUGUAUUUUCUGUUUCUUGCCAGUCCCGCUUGGUCUGGUAUAGUGAGGGUGACAUCGCUCGGCGUCGAGGAUGACGUGGCCUGGCAGGUUCAGGCAGCAGCGGCCUUCUACUCCGCCUCCAGGUGUUGAUGCUUCGAAGGGGUCGUAUCGUGCUGAUGGACCAAGUUACUGAUUCCUGUAACUUCACCUCGAAAAUGAUUUGAUCUGCUAUGCUGUUGUGUUCCAGCUCGUCUUCAUUGCAUUGCUAGAGUGCUUCCAGGCUUGCGAUACAUGAUCUGCUACCCUAUUGUGUUCCAGGUUCUUGGAUCAGAUUGGUGGUUUCGAGAAUGAGAUGCUUGCGAGGAUUUAAGCAGCAGCAAGCACUGGACAUGAACUCCAUUGCUGACCGUCUAUGCAUCUGGCCACUUCGGUGUCCGCCACGUGGGUCGCUGCAUGUAUAAUGUUCCGGUCCUUGUGAUGCUGAGUAGUGUCGGAUGGUAGUAGCAUUAUUCAGGAGCUGUGAUGCUCCAGGUUCAGGAACUGUGUAAUAGAGUAGUAUUAACUGUUGUCUCCCUUUGCUGCACCGUUUGGUGGCCCUAACUCUGCGUUUGUAGCAGAGAGUUGGGUUGUACGUGUGCCACUUAUAUUGUUGAUUUAUCUGCUGUGAAUCUUGAGAAAAGUGGCAAAAGUCGUGGCGAGAUUUUGAGUGAGCAA
Lolium rigidum is the source of this 3818-nucleotide long non-coding RNA. RefSeq lists it as uncharacterized. The transcript is spliced from 2 exons. The record is from RefSeq and is a predicted model, not a curated record. NCBI's taxonomy places the organism in Eukaryota, Viridiplantae, Streptophyta, Magnoliopsida, Poales, Poaceae.